This 253-nucleotide long non-coding RNA is filed under the name Gossypium barbadense (sea-island cotton). RNAcentral's name for it is "long non-coding RNA (GBAR_LNC017931)". The record is from RNAcentral. Lineage: Eukaryota; Viridiplantae; Streptophyta; Magnoliopsida; Malvales; Malvaceae.
CCGUCUUCAUUAAACAGUAUUAACCCAAAACGUGUAAAUUUUUAACAUGAAUCAAACCUUAGCUACAACACAUUGUUUCAUUAAAGUUUCUAAAAAAACAUGCUUAACAAUUACAUUAAACAAAACAAUAACAGAAAUUCAAAACAGACGGGACCAUUGUUGCUUCCUUCCAUAACAAUUACUCCCAUCAUUGAAUCAGAACCUUGUCCUAAAGGAUCAAAUUUUGGAUAUUUCUGCUGAAAGUCCUGCAAGG